GACGAACGCUGGCGGCGUGCUUAACACAUGCAAGUCGAACGGAAAGGCCCUGCUUUUGUGGGGUGCUCGAGUGGCGAACGGGUGAGUAACACGUGAGUAACCUGCCCUUGACUUUGGGAUAACUUCAGGAAACUGGGGCUAAUACCGGAUAGGAGCUCCUGCUGCAUGGUGGGGGUUGGAAAGUUUCGGCGGUUGGGGAUGGACUCGCGGCUUAUCAGCUUGUUGGUGGGGUAGUGGCUUACCAAGGCUUUGACGGGUAGCCGGCCUGAGAGGGUGACCGGCCACAUUGGGACUGAGAUACGGCCCAGACGCCUACGGGAGGCAGCAGUGGGGAAUAUUGCACAAUGGGCGGAAGCCUGAUGCAGCAACGCCGCGUGCGGGAGGCCGGCCUUCGGGUUGUAAACCGCUUUCGCCUGUGACGAAGCGUGAGUGACGGUAAUGGGUAAAGAAGCACCGGCUAACGACG
This 466-nucleotide ribosomal RNA is filed under the name uncultured bacterium. RNAcentral's name for it is "partial 16S ribosomal RNA". It matches the Rfam family "Bacterial small subunit ribosomal RNA", at positions 28 to 505 of the family's 1533-position model. The record is from RNAcentral.